UGCUGGAGGUAUCAGAAGUGCGAAUGCUGACAUAAGUAACGAUAAAGCGGGUGAAAAGCCCGCUCGCCGGAAGACCAAGGGUUCCUGUCCAACGUUAAUCGGGGCAGGGUGAGUCGACCCCUAAGGCGAGGCCGAAAGGCGUAGUCGAUGGGAAACGGGUUAAUAUUCCCGUACUUGGUGUUACUGCGAAGGGGGGACGGAGAAGGCUAUGUUGGCCGGGCGACGGUUGUCCCGGUUUAAGCGUGUAGGUGUGUGUUCCAGGUAAAUCCGGUUCACUUUAACACUGAGGCGUGACGACGAGGCACUACGGUGCUGAAGCAACAAAUGCCCUGCUUCCAGGAAAAGCCUCUAAGCAUCAGGUAACAUCAAAUCGUACCCCAAACCGACACAGGUGGUCAGGUAGAGAAUACCAAGGCGCUUGAGAGAACUCGGGUGAAGGAACUAGGCAAAAUGGUGCCGUAACUUCGGGAGAAGGCACGCUGACACGUAGGUGAAGUGAUUUACUCAUGGAGCUGAAGUCAGUCGAAGAUACCAGCUGGCUGCAACUGUUUAUUAAAAACACAGCACUGUGCAAACACGAAAGUGGACGUAUACGGUGUGACGCCUGCCCGGUGCCGGAAGGUUAAUUGAUGGGGUCAGCGCAAGCGAAGCUCCUGAUCGAAGCCCCGGUAAACGGCGGCCGUAACUAUAACGGUCCUAAGGUAGCGAAAUUCCUUGUCGGGUAAGUUCCGACCUGCACGAAUGGCGUAAUGAUGGCCAGGCUGUCUCCACCCGAGACUCAGUGAAAUUGAACUCGCUGUGAAGAUGCAGUGUACCCGCGGCAAGACGGAAAGACCCCGUGAACCUUUACUAUAGCUUGACACUGAACAUUGAGCCUUGAUGUGUAGGAUAGGUGGGAGGCUUUGAAG
RNAcentral lists this ribosomal RNA (908 nucleotides) under Salmonella enterica subsp. enterica serovar Heidelberg. RNAcentral's name for it is "partial 23S ribosomal RNA". It matches the Rfam family "Bacterial large subunit ribosomal RNA", at positions 1271 to 2162 of the family's 2925-position model. Lineage: Bacteria; Pseudomonadati; Pseudomonadota; Gammaproteobacteria; Enterobacterales; Enterobacteriaceae. RNAcentral also lists the same sequence under 8 other names. The record is from RNAcentral.